RNAcentral lists this ribosomal RNA (371 nucleotides) under uncultured bacterium. RNAcentral describes it as "bacterial SSU rRNA". It matches the Rfam family "Bacterial small subunit ribosomal RNA", at positions 525 to 896 of the family's 1533-position model. The record is from RNAcentral.
ACGAAGGGGGCUAGCGUUGUUCGGAAUUACUGGGCGUAAAGCGAGUGUAGGUGGUUUGCCAAGUUGGGUGUGAAAGCCUUGAGCUCAACUCAAGAAAUGCACUCAGUACUGGCAGACUAGAGGACCGGAGAGGAUAGUGGAAUUCCCAGUGUAGUGGUGAAAUACGUAGAGAUUGGGAAGAACACCAGUGGCGAAGGCGGCUAUCUGGACGGUUUCUGACACUAAGACUCGAAAGCGUGGGGAGCAAACAGGAUUAGAUACCCUGGUAGUCCACGCCGUAAACGAUGGGUGCUAGACGUUGGCGAGCUUGCUCGUCAGUGUCGCAGCUAACGCGUUAAGCACCCCGCCUGGGGAGUACGGCCGCAAGGUUG